Penaeus monodon (black tiger shrimp) is the source of this 154-nucleotide long non-coding RNA. RefSeq lists it as uncharacterized. The transcript is spliced from 2 exons. NCBI's taxonomy places the organism in Eukaryota, Metazoa, Arthropoda, Malacostraca, Decapoda, Penaeidae. The record is from RefSeq and is a predicted model, not a curated record.
GUCCCAGUGUGUCUCACGUGCUUGCAGGAGUCUUAGCACUACCUAUUGGCCUGUGAACAUUGUAUUGAAAGAGAUAUAAAGUGAACAUAAGUACAUAUAUUAUAACACUGAAUAAGGGAAAUAUACGGUGUAACAGGUUGUCUCAAAUUGCAUU